AUCACCUGGGCAUUGUGUUAAAAGGCAGAUUCUGGUUCAGUGGGCUGGGGCCUGAGAUUCUGCAUGUCUAACACGCUCCCAGCUGAUGCCAA
RNAcentral lists this microRNA precursor (92 nucleotides) under Loxodonta africana (African savanna elephant). Its description in RNAcentral is "mir-544 microRNA precursor family". It matches the Rfam family "mir-544 microRNA precursor family". Lineage: Eukaryota; Metazoa; Chordata; Mammalia; Proboscidea; Elephantidae. The record is from Rfam by way of RNAcentral.